RNAcentral lists this non-coding RNA (30 nucleotides) under Mus musculus (house mouse). Lineage: Eukaryota; Metazoa; Chordata; Mammalia; Rodentia; Muridae. The record is from RNAcentral.
UCAUAAGAAAGAACACAACUGUGUUGGGGG